Molecule: long non-coding RNA, 1748 nt
Filed under: Homo sapiens (human)
Lineage: Eukaryota; Metazoa; Chordata; Mammalia; Primates; Hominidae
Description: HSALNT0203639
Source: RNAcentral
CCUGGGUUUCCGAAAAUGGGGCGUGGCCCACAUGUAGCAGAGGUGCAGAGAAAUACAGCCCCCAGCUUGGCUGGGACAGGAUGGGCGUGGUCAUGGCCCAUUGCAAGCGGCAGGUGAAGUGCCUGGGCGAGGUCUGGGCAAAGGGAAGUGGACGGCCCAGGUGAAGAGAAGCGAGGCAGAAAUUAGGGAGGGGGCGUGGCCGAUUUAGAGAAGCAAUCAGAGUGAAUAGGGCGUAGCUGUGGGGACAGGCGUGACAUGGAAGAGCAUAGGGGCCAGUCAGGGAGGAGACCUUGGAGGGAGAGAAAUGGAGGGUGCCUGAGGGGGAUGUGCUAAAGCCAAAGCACAUUUGCCCCCUCCCAGCGGGUAGGGGAGUGGUGGAGGCGGAGCACAGAGGUGUGGCCUGUCAGAGAAGGCGUUGUUACGACAGCACAGAGAGUACGGCCCUAGGAGCAGGACCCUGCACACAGCUGAGCUCAGAGGCUCCAGUCUGGCCACGAGAAUGCAAUGGGAGGUAUUCUUCAUUGAUCUUACUCGAAGUUGAGAACAUGUAUUUUGACUCUGAGAAAUGUGAGGGCCAGGCCUGCUCACUUGUGUGAGGGUGCAGGCUCUUAUGAUCUGGCUUUCAUUCUGGCUUCCUCUCUGUUGGAGUCUUCUCUUCCUCCCAUUUGGAAGUCAAGUCAAGACUUCUGCUCCUGCCCAGCCUGGACCACCUUGGUCUUGGACACUGGAAGCAAACCUGUGCUUUUUAAUUCUGCUUCCUGUUUGGAGGUCAACUGCAGUGAGGUCUCUAUACCACAGAGUGUUGUUGGCGUCUCACAUGGCCAUUCAUCAGCUCAAUACAAACAAGUCUUCACGGAGGUGGAGUUUCCUCCUCACCUGUUGCUAAACCAGGCAGCGUGGAUUGGCAUAUUCACUGACUUCAUGGCACGAAGGCCUACAAAAGCGGAACAACUUUUCACCAGUGCAAAAAUGUUCCAAAAGAUACUCUCUCUGUCCAAUACACUUGUAAGUGCAUUCUAGAAUAUAAAAAAUAGAGAGAGAUAAAUGUUCUGUUGAAAGAUAAUCUCCCAAAAUAUAAGUUUUUAUGUAAGACAGUGCUCUCAAGUCAUAAAUGGUAAAUUCUUCUGAAAGUCACAGAGGAAAUUACUCUUAAGACCUCUGUCUUGUUAAGUUAUCAUAGUAAUAAAAUCUCAACCUACUAAGGUAACUUUCUAAACAUGUCAGAGCUUGAAAGUCUCUUGUAAACCUCUAAAUACAAAGAAAACCUAAGUUUAUUUAUUGAAGUUCAAGCUGUAGAAAUCUGACAGCUUUGAGGACUUUAAAAGAUACUGAAUCAACUGCUAUAAAAGGAAAACAGUCUUGACAAUUUUAAUUCAUAUAGUAUUACAACUGAAGAAACUAUUUGAUGAUUUAUGAAGGGCACAUUUGCCGGCUGUGUUUUGGAGUUUUUGCAUGAAAAGUGAAUUUGUACUCAGACUGUUUGCAUCUUCAAAGACCCAUGAGCUUGGCUGUAGGGGCAUGCAACAUUAGGUUUGGAAAUAUAUGAAAUAAAUAUUGCUAUGCCUUAAGAAUGUGAUUUAACUGUCAAUUUGCUUUGAUACGUAGGUUUAAAGUUUUGGGUUAUUUUAUAUAUGCUAUUCAUGUAUAUCUGUAUUGGAGGCAUCCACUCGCUGCUUUAGAAGCUCCUGGAGAGUAGAAAUUGUCUCCAUGUAGCUCUCAGCAAUUAAUAAACACUGAAGGCAACUGGG